GCCUGGGUGGCUCAGUCGGUUAAGUGUCUGACUUCAGCUCAGAUCAUGAUCUCACGGUUCAUGAAUUUGAGCCUCACCUCGGGCU
This 85-nucleotide transfer RNA is filed under the name Felis catus (domestic cat). It matches the Rfam family "tRNA". Rfam says of the family: Transfer RNA (tRNA) molecules are approximately 80 nucleotides in length. Their secondary structure includes four short double-helical elements and three loops (D, anti-codon, and T loops). The record is from Rfam by way of RNAcentral. Lineage: Eukaryota; Metazoa; Chordata; Mammalia; Carnivora; Felidae.